GGGAGGGGGUUGCGUGUGGUAAUGUGUGUUUAUAAAGACACAACGAAGGACUAAGGACAGAGGAGAGAGCGAGAGAGAGAGAGAGGGAGGAGGGAGGAGGGGGUGAGAGAUUUGUUAGGCACUUGUAUUUGCAAACUACUGGCUGAGUUCCCACUAGACGCAGGGAGAUCAGACUGCGUGUCAGCGAGUGUGUGCGUGUGUCUGGGAGAGACCGAGCAAGACGCAAACGAACCCAGUCAACCCCGGCAACUUUCCGUCCCUCAGACAGAGAAACCCCUGGAAGCUUUUCGCCUUAUACACUUGGGUCCCCGGCGAGCGGCCACUGACUUUGUUCGACUUGAGGAAAGAAGAGGAAGAGGAGGACGGGGGAAGGAACGGAGGCCGCGUCGUCAACGUCUCCACCGCAAAACACAUCAUCGGAAACUACUGUCGGCACCACGGGCCAGAGGGGAGACACCGGACAGAGCACUUCCUGUGUCAACAACAAGGUCACGGCGUUGCCAUGGGAACCAAGGUGGCCGACGGCUUUGUCUCUUCGACGAUGACUGUGUAGUUACAACACAAAUACAGUUACUGGCGGUGCACCCAUGAAUCCGACUUUAUCAAGACCAGUCAAACAAAAUGAAAAAACUACAGCUGUUUUUUAAAGGCUUAACGUGAUUAAAGUAAUAUUACUACUGAUCUAAAUUGUACAUCACAAUGGGGAAGCUAAACAAAAACAAGCAGUCACAACUCAUUAUUUAAUUUUAAAAAUUAAAUGGUGUUAUACAGGUUGCUUCUGUGACCCAGAAAAACCUCAUUUUAUGAACUCACUUUUCAGCUUUCAAAUGUGAAAUGAAAGAUAAUAAAUGUAAAUUCAGAAAGUUACUUUUGGAUGAAGUUCAGUAACACAGUAGUAACCAGAUAAAUCAGCAUAAAAAACAAAUAAAUGAAAAUCAGUUACAAAGCAAUGAAAAAAUCUAUUAAAUAAAAAAUACUUUUUUUGAAAAGUAAAAUUUUAUGGCUAUAUUAGUUGUCAAGAAUACGUUGAUCAAAUUGUUUGUAGCUAUAUUUAAAAUGAAAUAAAUUAUUCACAAAGUAUUAAAAACAAUAACAAAAAUUAAAACAUUUUUACAAGUUAA
Synchiropus splendidus (mandarinfish) is the source of this 1121-nucleotide long non-coding RNA. RefSeq lists it as uncharacterized. Lineage: Eukaryota; Metazoa; Chordata; Actinopteri; Syngnathiformes; Callionymidae. The record is from RefSeq and is a predicted model, not a curated record. The transcript is spliced from 2 exons.